This 93-nucleotide small nucleolar RNA is filed under the name Erinaceus europaeus (western European hedgehog). Its description in RNAcentral is "Small nucleolar RNA U3 (ENSEEUG00000023089.1)". The record is from RNAcentral. Lineage: Eukaryota; Metazoa; Chordata; Mammalia; Eulipotyphla; Erinaceidae.
AAGACUAUACUUUCAAGGAUCAUUUCUAUAGUCUGUAAAUACAGCCAUGUCUAUAGCCACAUUAUUCACAAUAGCCAAAAUGUGGAAGCAGCC